This 71-nucleotide non-coding RNA is filed under the name unclassified sequences. The record is from RNAcentral.
CCCUCCUCAGCAAAAAGCGGUCGCCUGAUGAUCGCCUGACUGUCUUUGACAGCCUAGCUGAGGAGGUUUGU